This 499-nucleotide ribosomal RNA is filed under the name uncultured bacterium. Its description in RNAcentral is "partial 16S ribosomal RNA". It matches the Rfam family "Bacterial small subunit ribosomal RNA", at positions 28 to 507 of the family's 1533-position model. The record is from RNAcentral.
GAUGAACGCUGGCGGCGUGCCUAAUACAUGCAAGUCGAGCGAACAGACGAGAGUGCUUGCACUCUCUGCCGUUAGCGGCGGACGGGUGAGUAACACGUGGGUAACCUACCUAUAAGACUGGGAUAAUUUCGGGAAACCGGAGCUAAUACCGGAUAAUAUUUAGCUUCGCAUGAAGCAAUAGUGAAAGACGGUUCUGCUGUCACUUAUAGAUGGACCCGCGGUGUAUUAGCUAGUUGGUGAGGUAACGGCUCACCAAGGCAACGAUACAUAGCCGACCUGAGGGGGUGAUCGGCCACACUGGGACUGAGACACGGCCCAGACUCCUACGGGAGGCAGCAGUAGGGAAUCUUCCGCAAUGGACGAAAGUCUGACGGAGCAAUGCCGCGUGAGUGAAGAAGGUUUUCGGAUCGUAAAACUCUGUUGUAAGGGAAGAACAAGUACGUUAGUAACUGAACGUACCUUGACGGUACCUUACCAGAAAGCCACGGCUAACUACGUG